GAUGAACGCUAGCGGCAGGCUUAAUACAUGCAAGUCGUGGGGCAGCAGGACUGUAGCCAUACAGUUGCUGGCGACCGGCACACGGGUGCGGAACACGUACGCAACUUACCCUGAACUGGGGGAUAGCCCGGGGAAACCCGGAUUAAUACCCCGUAAUAUAAUGGAGUGGCAUCACUUUAUUAUUAAAGCUCCGGCGGUUCGGGAUGGGCGUGCGGCUGAUUAGGUAGUUGGUUGAGGUAACGGCUCACCAAGCCUACGAUCAGUAACUGGUGUGAGAGCACGACCAGUCACACGGGCACUGGGACACGGGCCCGACUCCUACGGGGGGCAGGAGAAAGGAAUAUUGGGAAAGGGAGGCAACUCUGACCCAGCCAUGCCGCGUGGAGGAUGAAGGCCCUUGGGGUUGAAAACUUCUUUUAUAGGGGACGAAACCUGUGUAUUCUUACGCAGUUGACGGUACCCAAGGAAUAAGCACCGGCUAACCCCGU
This 488-nucleotide ribosomal RNA is filed under the name uncultured bacterium. RNAcentral's name for it is "partial 16S ribosomal RNA". It matches the Rfam family "Bacterial small subunit ribosomal RNA", at positions 28 to 506 of the family's 1533-position model. The record is from RNAcentral.